UAAGACGAAGGUGGCGAGCGUUACUCGGAUUUACUAGGCGUAAAGCGUGGGCAGGCGGUUCGUAAAGUCUGUUGUGAAAGCUCCCGGCUCAACUGGGAGAGGCCAAUGGAUACUCACGGACUUGAAUCGGGGAGGGGUCACUGGAAUUCCUGGUGUAGCGGUGAAAUGCGUAGAUAUCAGGAGGAACACCAAUGGCGAAGGCAGGUGACUGGACCCGUAUUGACGCUCAUCCACGAAAGCUGGGGGAUCAAACAGGAUUAGAUACCCUGGUAGUCCCAGCUGUAAACGAUGCUCACUAGGUGUGGGAGGUAUCGACCCCUCCCGCGCCGACGCUAACGCAUUAAGUGAGCCGCCUGGGGAGUACGGCCGCAAGGUUG
Molecule: ribosomal RNA, 377 nt
Filed under: uncultured bacterium
Lineage: Bacteria
Description: bacterial SSU rRNA
Rfam family: Bacterial small subunit ribosomal RNA
Source: RNAcentral